This 115-nucleotide ribosomal RNA is filed under the name uncultured eukaryote. RNAcentral describes it as "partial 18S ribosomal RNA". The record is from RNAcentral.
UGGUGGAGUGAUUUAUCUGGUUAAGGAAGGAGACUCUAGCCUGCUAGAUAGUAUGGGUUGUGAGUGACUUACUUCUAAGAGGCAUUGGUGGCAUUUAGUGACAUGAGUAAUAACA